Molecule: ribosomal RNA, 433 nt
Filed under: uncultured bacterium
Lineage: Bacteria
Description: partial 16S ribosomal RNA
Rfam family: Bacterial small subunit ribosomal RNA
Source: RNAcentral
AGCGAACGCUGGCGGCAGGCCUAACACAUGCAAGUCGAACGAACUCUUCGGAGUUAGUGGCGGACGGGUGAGUAACACGUGGGAACGUGCCUUUUGGUUCGGAAUAACUCAGGGAAACUUGUGCUAAUACCGAAUGUGCCCUUCGGGGGAAAGAUUUAUCGCCAUUAGAGCGGCCCGCGUCUGAUUAGCUAGUUGGUGAGGUAACGGCUCACCAAGGCGACGAUCAGUAGCUGGUCUGAGAGGAUGACCAGCCACACUGGGACUGAGACACGGCCCAGACUCCUACGGGAAGCAGCAGUGGGGAAUCUUGCGCAAUGGGCGAAAGACUGACGCAGCCAUGCCGCGUGAAUGAUGAAGGUCUUAGGAUUGUAAAAUUCUUUCACCGGGGACGAUAAUGACGGUACCCGGAGAAGAAGCCCCGGCUAACUUCGUG